AUUGAACGCUGGCGGCAUGCUUUACACAUGCAAGUCGAACGGCAGCGCGGGCUUCGGCCUGGCGGCGAGUGGCGAACGGGUGAGUAAUACAUCGGAACGUGCCCAGUAGUGGGGGAUAGCUCGGCGAAAGCCGGAUUAAUACCGCAUACGACCUGAGGGCGAAAGCGGGGGAUCUUCGGACCUCGCGCUAUUGGAGCGGCCGAUGGCAGAUUAGCUAGUUGGUGGGGUAAAGGCCUACCAAGGCGACGAUCUGUAGCUGGUCUGAGAGGACGACCAGCCACACUGGGACUGAGACACGGCCCAGACUCCUACGGGAGGCAGCAGUGGGGAAUUUUGGACGAUGGGCGAAAGCCUGAUCCAGCAAUGCCGCGUGUGUGAUGAAGGCCUUCGGGUUGUAAAGCACUUUUGGCGGGAACGAAAAGGACUGUGCCAAUACCACGGUUCGAUGACGGUACCCGCAGAAUAAGCACCGGCUAACUACGUG
RNAcentral lists this ribosomal RNA (484 nucleotides) under uncultured bacterium. RNAcentral describes it as "partial 16S ribosomal RNA". It matches the Rfam family "Bacterial small subunit ribosomal RNA", at positions 29 to 507 of the family's 1533-position model. The record is from RNAcentral.